Molecule: ribosomal RNA, 468 nt
Filed under: uncultured bacterium
Lineage: Bacteria
Description: partial 16S ribosomal RNA
Rfam family: Bacterial small subunit ribosomal RNA (bases 58-468)
Source: RNAcentral
GGGGGGGGGGGGGGGGGGGGGGGGGGCGGGGGGGGGGGGCGGGGGGGGCGGGGGGGGGGGGGGGGCUCGGGUGGCGGGCGGGUGAGUAACACGUGGGUAACCUGCCCUUGGCUUUGGGGUAACUUCCGGCGACUGGGGCUCAUACCGGAUAGGGGCGCCUGCUGCAUGGUGGGGGUUGGAAAGGUUCGGCGGUGGGGGAUGGACUCGCGGCUUAUCAGCGUGUUGGUGGGGUAGUGGCUUACCCAGGCUUUGACGGGUAGCCGGCCGGAGAGGGUGACCGGCCACAUUGGGACUGAGAUACGGCCCAGACUCCUACGGGAGGCAGCAGUGGGGAAUAUUGCACAAUGGGCGGAAGCCUGAUGCAGCAACGCCGCGUGCGGGAUGACGGCCUUCGGGGUGUAAACCGCUUUCGCCGGUGACGAAGCGUGGGUGACGGUAAUGGGUAAAGAAGCACCGGCUAACUACGUG